UGUUGUGGUGGUUUCUUUCUGGCACAUUUGUUAAGUUUCAAAUGGGCCUGACUCUGCCACAUACAUUAUAUAGGAACUAACCAAGGCUUGAAGACAGAUUGUCUUUAGCAUUUUCCCACAUCAGAGAUUGGAUCCCACAUGU
Small nucleolar RNA from Dipodomys ordii (Ord's kangaroo rat), 142 nucleotides. The record is from Ensembl. Lineage: Eukaryota; Metazoa; Chordata; Mammalia; Rodentia; Heteromyidae.